CCUACGGGGGGCAGCAGUGAGGAAUAUUGGUCAAUGGACGAGAGUCUGAACCAGCCAAGUAGCGUGAAGGAUGACUGCCCUAUGGGUUGUAAACUUCUUUUAUAUGGGAAUAAAAUGUUCCACGUGUGGGAUUUUGUAUGUACCAUAUGAAUAAGGAUCGGCUAACUCCGUGCCAGCAGCCGCGGUAAUACGGAGGAUCCGAGCGUUAUCCGGAUUUAUUGGGUUUAAAGGGAGCGUAGGUGGAUUGUUAAGUCAGUUGUGAAAGUUUGCGGCUCAACCGUAAAAUUGCAGUUGAAACUGGCAGUCUUGAGUACAGUAGAGGUGGGCGGAAUUCGUGGUGUAGCGGUGAAAUGCUUAGAUAUCACGAAGAACUCCGAUGGCGAAGGCAGUUCACUGGACUGCAACUGACACUGAGGCUCGAAAGUGUGGGUAUCAAACAGGAUUAGAUACCCGAGUAGUC
This 460-nucleotide ribosomal RNA is filed under the name uncultured bacterium. RNAcentral's name for it is "partial 16S ribosomal RNA". It matches the Rfam family "Bacterial small subunit ribosomal RNA", at positions 338 to 795 of the family's 1533-position model. The record is from RNAcentral.